Molecule: long non-coding RNA, 2833 nt
Filed under: Ornithorhynchus anatinus (platypus)
Lineage: Eukaryota; Metazoa; Chordata; Mammalia; Monotremata; Ornithorhynchidae
Description: lncRNA (ENSOANG00000006029.2)
Source: RNAcentral
CUUGUAACAUUUUUUUCCCAUCUUAAGAAAUCUUGCAUAUCCAAACCCAGACUAAAAUCCAUAAUGCAAUUACCUUUGGCAUUCAAUCAAUGCAUAUACUGUAGGCAACCUUUAGAUUCAGGCUAAAUGUUUCCUUUUCAAGAGCAGUGUUUGGGGGCUAAUGGAAGACCAGUCAUUGUCACAAAACCUCCACAGUUUCAUUUUGUUUCUGCUUUGCCACUGAUGACUGUGAGGUUAGGAAGAGAUCACUUUUUCCAGAUAAUGAAUGCACUGUGCUUCCAGCUGUGCUGGUCUGGAGGAUUGAGUGUGUAUUCAAUAAGCACAGAAUCUUUUGCUGUCAACAGCAACAUGUGUGAUUUCAAAGGCCAUUAUUUUGAUUUACAACAGUUGUAGUGAAUUAAUAAAACCUUAAGUUUUUCCAUUUUUGGACACAGGAAUGCAAAUGAAGUUACUCAACGGAAUAGUCAUCCUGGGGUAUGGAAGAUUUGUUGGCUUAUUUGGGACUUUCUUCCCAAACUUCUGGGUCUCCAAAAUGGGAAGAUAAGCCAUUAAAAUAUAGUCAGGGAAAAGAAAGAACUUGCCUGCAUUUAAUCUGAUAUUACUGUGAAUAUUUUUGAAGACAGCAGGAUGUAGUCCAAAUUGGAAGGUGAGUAGAGGGAAUCUGCAAAGCAGAAUAACAUAGUUGUAUUGUAUUCCAGGAGAAAAUGAAGUUCCAGCUGAAGAUGCACUAGUUCUACAACUUCAACUUGCUAAAGGACAGGAAAAAUUCAUUGAGAUGCUGAAAAGCCAACAGAAGGUAAUUGCAGAUUUGCAGCAGAAGCUUACCGAGCAGCAGAACACACUGAUUAGCCAGCAACAAGAAAUUCUGGAACAGCAGAUGAAAAUGUACACUCAAAUGGAUAUGAUAAAAGUUCAGUAUGGCAUGCUUUUUGACUCAGUGAAGCAGAUGUCAUUCCAGAGUUUGCAGGAAGACAUUCAACAAUAUUUCCAAACUCAUCUUCAAGGACUUCACAAGCAGGUCAGAAAUCAUCUCCAAACAUCCUACUCGGUGCAUAAAGUUGGAUUUGAUGCAAAAGAGACUGGUGUCGGGCAACCUUCACUGGACUGUGGCCCGUGUGAAAGUGAUGAAUUUUGCAAUUUCCAAAAGACACCAUCAUGGUGUGAAAAAUGCACUCUGUGCCCUGCUGGCUUUUUUCAAAUGUCCGAAUGUUCCGCAAAUGCUGAUCGGAUUUGUCAGGACAGAGAUGAGUGCACUGAAUCUCCCAAUAUUUGUGGUGAAAAGAUAAAAUGUCUGAAUACUCCAGGGGGCUUCCGGUGCCUAGGAGUGGCUGAGAAGGAUGCAGCGCUGGGACUGUGUGGUGAAGGGUAUUUCUUCAAUAAAGAAAUGCAGGAAUGCCAGGCCUGUACGGCGUGCGAGGAAGGAGCAGUGGCAAUGCCCUGUGCUGCCAUCAGCGACACCGUAUGUGCAGCCCCCAGAGAAAGUCGACUCUCUGAAGCCUGGGCUGCAGACGUUGCCUUACCCCACACAGAGGCAGGUGACAUCCCAGUCUACUCCGGCUUUAACCUCAAGAUCGAAGGUGAACAUCCAGGGGAAAUAGGAUCGGUUCAAGACACUCGCCUAGUCUUCAGGCAACACGGCCUGGUGUGGGCAGACCUCAAUUUUGCUGUGAAACACAACUGCCGGAAUUUUCUCCAGCUCUCCCUGAGGUUAAAUAGUAGCGAGGAGGGGUACGAACUCGGCGGGGUUCGCAUUGAGCAGCCAGAGGGCAAGUAUAUCCAGAGCACCACAUUAAGCAGUUCAGCAGAGGUGGAACCCAGCCAGACCCUCUCGGUGACCCUGAAGAGCCCAAAUCAGUUCUGUAACCGGAGUAAAGAUUUGAAUGUGUACAACCUCAGCACACCCCUCAGUAUCUUCUGGUUGUCCCAUGACACGGGGGCUGUGGCCAUGAGCGCCCAGAUGUCAACUGCAGUACACUACCAAACGAACCACCGCCCAACUCUUAAAAUCGUCUCGGUGUCUGACCCAUAUAUGAUCAGCUUGUCUCACGACGGAAGAGGUAUAAAGUUCACCGAGGCAGGAGUCAUCAAGUUUGUUUUCCAUCAAGCCCUGUACUCCAUGGGCCACACGUGUGUCCGGGAAGGCUUUUCCUUGAUUUCUUACAUCACCCGUAACAGCACCAGCAUUGAACUGGUGAACGUUUUCAAGUCUGGCGUCAAUUACAGAGACACGACACUGUCAUCCUCUGGGGCCACCAAAGUCCAUGCCGGGGACCUGAUAAGCUUUGAGAUUCUGUCUCCAGCUCAGUGCAGUGUGCGCUACUUUGGAGACAACUCUGGUGUCAGUAUGUUUAGCCUCAUCUGGAUCCCGUCAGCAGUCUCUACCGCUCUUUCGGCCACUGUUUCCGUUUCAGGGUUACCCACGGGAGCUGUCAGGAACAAAGUUUUGGACUUCAACCUCGUCACAUCCAAUGAGAACCAGAUUCAGCUGGUUUCUUCCGGGCCAAUGGCUCAGAAGUAUUUCGUGUUUACUGAAAAGGGAAUUGCCAGCAUUGCUUUUAAUCUAAAGUUGAUCCACUCAUGUAAUGUAAUCAAAAUUACUUUGAAUGAGCGGAUCCGUGGUCAGUUGCAACCAGCAGUACUUGCUCAGCAAAUUGGAGGUCAGAUGCCAGAGGGAAGCCUAUGGACCAGUGUGGGUCUCCGUUCUUCUUUCGAAGUCCACAAUGGUACAACGAUUUCUGUUUCCCUUGACUGUGUCCGUGGAAGGAUCAAUCAAAUCGCUCAUGAACACGGCACCAGCAUAUCCAUUUUGUGGAUCUCGUCUCAACUUUCUUAG